GACGAACCGUGCGAACGUUGUUCGGAUUCACUGGGCUUAAAGGGCGCGUAGGCGGCUCCUCAAGUCGGGGGUGAAAUCCUCUCGCUUAACGAGAGAAUUGCCUCCGAUACUGGGGAGCUGGAGGGGGAUAGGGGUGCGCGGAACUUCCGGUGGAGCGGUGAAAUGCGUAGAUAUCGGAAGGAACGCCGGUGGCGAAAGCGGCGCACUGGAUCCCCACUGACGCUGAGGCGCGAAAGCCAGGGGAGCAAACGGG
Molecule: ribosomal RNA, 253 nt
Filed under: uncultured bacterium
Lineage: Bacteria
Also listed under: 1 other name
Description: partial 16S ribosomal RNA
Rfam family: Bacterial small subunit ribosomal RNA
Source: RNAcentral